This is a long non-coding RNA of Oncorhynchus tshawytscha (Chinook salmon), 725 nucleotides long. NCBI's taxonomy places the organism in Eukaryota, Metazoa, Chordata, Actinopteri, Salmoniformes, Salmonidae. The record is from Ensembl.
CCCCUCUUCAUUAUCCACCUUCCCUGUUUCUUGUUCUGUUCCACCAGAUGCUUGUGAUCAUUUCCUGGCGGCGACUCGGCAGGGCAACAGACAGGCAGGCGACUCGGCAGGGCAACAGACAGGCAGGCGACUCGGCAGGGCAACAGACAGGCAGGCGACUCGGCAGGGCAACAGACAGGCAGGCGACUCGGCAGGGCAACAGACAGGCAGGCGACUCGGCAGGGCAACAGACAGACAGGCGACUCGGCAGGGCAACAGACAGGCAGGCGACUCGGCAGAGCAACAGACAGGCAGGCGACUCGGCAGAGCAACAGACAGGCAGGCGACUCGGCAGAGCAACAGACAGGCAGGCGACUCGGUAGAGCAACAGACAGGCAGGCGACUCGGUAGAGCAACAGACAGACAGGCGACUCGGUAGUGUCAAUUGAUUCUUUAUUUCUCCUGCAGCUGAAUUAGACACAUCAUAGGUACAUCCUCCAUCUAAUGACAUAGGAACCAUCCCAAAUAGCACCCUAGUUCCUUGACAGUAAACCAUUUCUGACCAUGGGCCCAUAGGGACACAUCACAGAGGAUAGCCGCUAUAGGACUCUGGUCUAAAGUAGUGCACUAUAUAGGGAAUAGUGUGCCAUUUGGUCACAUUGGCUACUCAGCACAUCCUUCAAUGGUAACUUAGUGUUGUAGAGCCGAAGUCGCUUCAGAGACAAAAAAAAAACUGUUAUUAUUAC